GUUAAAGGUACCCGUACCGCAAACCGACACAGGUGGGUGAGGAGAGUAUCCUAAGGCCAGCGAGAGAACUGUUGUUAAGGAACUCGGCAAAAUGACCCCGUAACUUAGGGAUAAGGGGUGCCACCAUCAGGUGGCCGCAGAGAAUAGGCACAAGCGACUGUUUACCAAAAACAUAGGUUUCUGCUAAGUCGCAAGACGAUGUAUAGGAGCUGACGCCUGCCCGGUGCUGGAAGGUUAAGGGGAUCUGUUAGAGCAAUCGAAGCAGUGAACUUAAGCCCCAGUAAACGGCGGCCGUAACUAUAACGGUCCUAAGGUAGCGAAAUUCCUUGUCGGGUAAGUUCCGACCCGCACGAAAGGCGUAACGAUUUGGGCACUGUCUCA
RNAcentral lists this ribosomal RNA (381 nucleotides) under Clostridioides difficile. RNAcentral's name for it is "partial 23S ribosomal RNA". It matches the Rfam family "Bacterial large subunit ribosomal RNA", at positions 1631 to 2023 of the family's 2925-position model. The record is from RNAcentral. Lineage: Bacteria; Bacillati; Bacillota; Clostridia; Peptostreptococcales; Peptostreptococcaceae.